CAGGUCACUCCUACGGGAGGCAGCAGUGGGGAAUUUUGCGCAAUGGGGGAAACCCUGACGCAGCAACGCCGCGUGGAGGAUGAAGUCCCUUGGGAUGUAAACUCCUUUCGACCCGGACGAUACUGACGGUACGGGUGGAAGAAGCACCGGCUAACUACGUGCCAGCAGCCGCGGUAAUACGUAGGGUGCGAGCGUUAAUCGGAAUUACUGGGCGUAAAGCGUGCGCAGGCGGUUUUGUAAGUCAGAUGUGAAAUCCCCGGGCUCAACCUGGGAACUGCGUUUGAAACUACAAGGCUAGAGUAUGGCAGAGGGGGGUAGAAUUCCACGUGUAGCAGUGAAAUGCGUAGAGAUCGGGAGGAACACCGGUGGCGAAGGCGGGUCUCUGGGCAAUUCCUGACGCUGAGGCGCGAAAGCGUGGGGAGCAAACGGGAUUAGAUACCCUGGUAGUCCACGCCCUAAACGAUGUCUACUAGUUGUUGGGAGAGUAAAAUCUCUUAGUAACGCAGCUAACGCGUGAAGUAGACCGCCUGGGGAGUACGGUCGCAAGAUUAAAACUUAAAGGAAUUGACG
Molecule: ribosomal RNA, 570 nt
Filed under: uncultured beta proteobacterium
Lineage: Bacteria; Pseudomonadati; Pseudomonadota; Betaproteobacteria
Description: bacterial SSU rRNA
Rfam family: Bacterial small subunit ribosomal RNA
Source: RNAcentral